AUGGUUUUCCCAGGAAGGGGAAGGAUCCGUGUUGAUGCUGACAGUGUUCAGAGGGUAUUUGAUCUCCCAAACAAGGGUCCAAAAGUCAGAUAUUUAGUUGACAAGGAUGCCACUAGGAGAUUCAGACAGGCUUUCAACAUAACUGGAAAUUCUCAUCCCCAGAUCACUACAUGGCUCAAGAUGAUUGAGCAUAUGGCUGGAAGAACGGAUGACACAUUUUUUAUGGCCUGGCUUGCGGUUGCCUUCAGUACUUUUCUAGCACCAACCACGGCCUUGAAGCUCAGCCCAAAGUGUUAUGGACUUGUGCUAGAUCAUCAAAUGCUAAAGAAUACAAACAUCUGCCUCUUUGUAGCAGAACACAUUAACGAAGCUUUCCGGAACAUGGACCAGGAGAAGCAAACUGUUUGCUGCUGCUUGUAUCACUUGAUGGUUAGUGAAAACGACCACUUUUUUCCAUCUGUUCUUGUUCUUUCUGUGCAGUUAUAG
This 486-nucleotide ribosomal RNA is filed under the name Triticum aestivum (bread wheat). RNAcentral describes it as "partial small subunit ribosomal RNA". The record is from RNAcentral. Lineage: Eukaryota; Viridiplantae; Streptophyta; Magnoliopsida; Poales; Poaceae.